UACGAGGGGCCCAAGCGUUAAUCGGAAUCACUGGGCUUAAAGGGUGCGCAGGCGGACUAGAAAGCAUUUUGUGAAAGCCCCCGGCUCAACCGGGGAAUUGCAGGGUGAACUACUGGUCUUGAGGCAGGUAGGGGCAGACGGAACUGUCGGUGGAGCGGUGAAAUGCAUAGAUAUCGACAGGAACGCCAAUGGCGAAGGCAGUCUGCUGGGCCUGUCCUGACGCUCAGGCACGAAAGCGUGGGGAGCAAACAGG
RNAcentral lists this ribosomal RNA (253 nucleotides) under uncultured bacterium. Its description in RNAcentral is "partial 16S ribosomal RNA". It matches the Rfam family "Bacterial small subunit ribosomal RNA", at positions 524 to 776 of the family's 1533-position model. The record is from RNAcentral.